ACCAUGCAAGUCGAGCGGAAGGCCCUUCGGGGUACUCGAGCGGCGAACGGGUGAGUAACACGUGAGUAAUCUGCCCCAGGCUCUGGGAUAGCCACCGGAAACGGUGAUUAAUACCGGAUACGACAACCGAUUGCAUGAUCUGGUUGUGGAAAGUUUUUCGGCCUGGGAUGUGCUCGCGGCCUAUCAGCUUGUUGGUGAGGUAAUGGCUCACCAAGGCUUCGACGGGUAGCCGGCCUGAGAGGGUGACCGGCCACACUGGGACUGAGACACGGCCCAGACUCCUACGGGAGGCAGCAGUGGGGAAUAUUGGACAAUGGGCGGAAGCCUGAUCCAGCAACGCCGCGUGAGGGAUGACGGCCUUCGGGUUGUAAACCUCUUUCAGCACAGACGAAGCGCAAGUGACGGUAUGUGCAGAAGAAGGACCGGCCAACUACGUGCCAGCAGCCGCGGUAAUACGUAGGGUCCGAGCGUUGUCCGGAAUUAUUGGGCGUAAAGGGCUCGUAGGCGGUCUGUCGCGUCGGGAGUGAAAACCAGGUGCUUAACACCUGGCCUGCUUUCGAUACGGGCAGACUAGAGGUACUCAGGGGAGAAUGGAAUUCCUGGUGUAGCGGUGAAAUGCGCAGAUAUCAGGAGGAACACCGGUGGCGAAGGCGGUUCUCUGGGAGUAUCCUGACGCUGAGGAGCGAAAGUGUGGGGAGCGAA
RNAcentral lists this ribosomal RNA (702 nucleotides) under Nocardioides sp. RNAcentral describes it as "bacterial SSU rRNA". It matches the Rfam family "Bacterial small subunit ribosomal RNA", at positions 53 to 772 of the family's 1533-position model. Lineage: Bacteria; Bacillati; Actinomycetota; Actinomycetes; Propionibacteriales; Nocardioidaceae. The record is from RNAcentral.